UUGCUAUGAUGAAAGCUCAACUCGUUGAAAGCAUUUCUGUGUUUGAUGUGACAUCAACAUGGUGGAGACCAUGUUGAAUCUGAGCGGUUACCUGAGCAA
Molecule: small nucleolar RNA, 99 nt
Filed under: Macleaya cordata
Lineage: Eukaryota; Viridiplantae; Streptophyta; Magnoliopsida; Ranunculales; Papaveraceae
Description: small nucleolar RNA snoR128
Rfam family: small nucleolar RNA snoR128
Source: Rfam by way of RNAcentral